The sequence is a ribosomal RNA, 269 nucleotides long. The stretch from base 87 to 269 matches the Rfam family "Eukaryotic small subunit ribosomal RNA", at positions 735 to 919 of the family's 1831-position model.
UUCUGCUGAGGAUGACCGGUCCGCCUUCGGGUGUGUAUCUGUGUUGUCUGAUGCAUCUUUCUAGAUGCGCCGUGCUUCAAUGUACGUGCGAUUUCUAGAUCUUUUACUUUGAGGAAAUUAGAGUGUUUCAAGCAGGCUUAUGCCUUGAAUACUUUAGCAUGGAAUAAUAAGAUAGGACUUCGGUUCUAUUUUGUUGGUUUCUAGAACUGAAGUAAUGAUUAAUAGGGACAAUCGGGGGCAUUCGUACUCAACAGUCAGAGGUGAAAUUC